GAGAGAGAGAAAGAGAAAGAGAGAGAGAGAGAGAGAGAGAGAGAGAGAGAGAAAGAGAAUUAUAUGUGUCUUUUCUGAACACAGCGCAUUAUCACCGAUAGCUCAGUGAACAGCAAUUCAUUAUUUAAUGAUUUUUCAGUGGAAACUCAGGAUGAGAGAGACAAAGAGCAGGAGAGAAAGAGAGAAGGAAUUAUAUAUGUGAUCUAAACCAGCGAAACAUGAAUGAUGACAGUAUAUUACCAUCGAUAGCUCAGUGGAGAUAUUAUUAUUUAAUGAUUCUUUAGGCAAGUCGCACAUUACGUAUCUGUAUCACAUUUUCAUGAAGUAAUUUAUAAUUAAAAAUGUAUCCUGCAAAUAUUUUAA
This is a long non-coding RNA of Monomorium pharaonis (pharaoh ant), 363 nucleotides long. RefSeq lists it as uncharacterized. Lineage: Eukaryota; Metazoa; Arthropoda; Insecta; Hymenoptera; Formicidae. The transcript has 2 exons. The record is from RefSeq and is a predicted model, not a curated record.